CUGAAAAGGGAAUCGAUCGUGAUUUGGAACCUGUUCUUUACAUGAACCCUCUUAACUAAGAUUUUCUUAUUUAUACCUGUUCUACUUUUUUUCUGUUCUGGCUCGGUUAUUCCAUCUAGCCGAGCCAUUCAUUCCUUUUUAUGAAAGAAAGAUAAGGGACAGAAAAAAAUGUAUUUUCCCAUCAACUAGCUAAAAUUGAUUAACCCUAGGAUUAGGAUCCUUUUUUCUUUUUUCCUCUAUGUGUAUUUUACUUUAGCGCAAGGGCGCUCGAUUAGUGAGCUAUUACGCACUCUUUAAAGGGUGGCUGCUUCUAGGCAAACCUCCUGGCUUUCUUUGCACCCCCACGGCCUUUAUCACUGAGCGGUCAUUUAGGGGCCUUAGCUGGUGAUCCGGGAUCGAUAAACCUUUUGGAUUUUAUUAACCAAAGAGAUACGACUUUGGGCUAUGGUUAGCUCAGCUCCAAUCAAGAAUAUUCUUACUAUUAUUGUAUUAUCUUAUUUAUAGUGAAACAAGUUGAGAAGAGGUUGUUAAUAAGAGAUUGCCCAGGGAAAUAGGUAAAAGAAAUUUCCAUCUUUGAUUCUCUAUAAACCAAGAAUAAAGGGAAAUCACUGAUUCAUUUGGAGCUGUUUUCUACCUGACUCAUUGACAUGAGAGAUUAGAUGCGAUGCGCCAGUCACUCGACCGUCAAUCCUUUCUUGUGACGAGCCAUGACUGGGUGCUCUGAAACCUCCUUAAAAGGAGGGGCGGUGGGGUAAGGUAAUUGUUGGGCAGUACACAGGAGGAAAUUGACAGGUCUAUAAAUUCUAUUAAAGGAAUGAGAAAGCUAAUGAAUCUUAAACCCAUUGAUAAAAAGAAAAAAAAGGGUACCAACGAUCUGGAAUCCCGUGCUGAAACCUACAGAUAUGCACCUAUGCGGACCAUCCUGGCAAUCCUCCUGUCUAUUCUUUCUAAUAACCAACGAAUGGCAAGUGCUCUUCCUUGUUUAGAUCCUAUUUCAAUCGGAACUUUCCGCGUCGAUCCUUUUUAUUUUAUCUUGUUUCUUACCUAAAUUUAUUAGUUUCUUCUUUAUUUGUAACAGUUCUCUACUUGGGCGGGUGGAAUUUAUCUAUUCCCUAUAUAUCCUUUUUUGUCUGAAAUCUUUAAGCAACUAAAAAAGACGUAUACUAAAAGAUAUGUGUUGAAAAGGGAUGGUCAAUAACAAGAUGAACCCAAUGCCCAAUCUUCCUCGGGUUCCACGGGGUAAAUCCAUUAAAAAGGACAAAUUUUAGCAGAAGGAGCUGCUACAGUUGGGGGCGAACUUGCUUUAGGAAAAAACGCCCUAAAUAAACGCGGACACUUAAAAAAUCUGUCGGGCAGGCAGAUUCACAUCUCUUACAACCCACACAAUCUUCGGUUCUCGGCGCGGAAGCAAUUUGCUUGGCUUUACAUCCAUCCCAGGGUAUCAUUCCCUUUUAUGAUUGGAGAACCUGGCUUUGAUGACAUUCCUGAGGGAUCCGCAAAACCCCUCGCCAUUACCGUAUGAGCAGGUUUGAAAGCCUGCAAGUUAAGUUGUUGGCUGCUCUUAGCGAUUGACGGACGAAGCCGAGCCGAUAUGAUAGGCGGGCGAAGUGAGCGAGACCAAGACGGGCCAGACGUGGCUAAUUUUUUAAUUAAAUAAAAAAUCCCUUUUAACUUAGUGGUAGAGUAAUGCCAUGGUAAGGCAUAAGUCAUCGGUUCAAAUCUGAUAAAGGGCUUUCUAAUUGAUUGGAUAUCCCGCAUAAGGAAUCGAAGGAAGAUGCGACGUUUUAUUCCAGGGAAUCCCCAACAAAAAAUGCACAUUUGUAUCUGGAUUUUUUGAUUUCCUAAAAGAGUUUUGGUCUAACAGUUUUUUCUCGGAAGAAGAAAAAUAAACAAAAGAAUGAAUAAAAUAUGAAAGAAAAGCGUCCAUUGUCUAAUGAGUUCAUAACCCUAGCGCCCAUUCCCAUUUUGGGCGGAACAGAUCUACUAAUUCUUUUAUUCCAGUUAGAGCCGAAAUAGGAGUGGGUCCUUCCAUAGCAUCGGGUAACCAUACAUGAAGAGGGAAUUGUGCGGAUUUCGCAACUGCACCAAGGAAUAAUAAAAAAGCACACAAAGUAGUAAGUAAAAACCUUCAUGAAAUGAAGGUUUUAUUUUAUGUAAUCAUUUAGGUGUUAGUGUAAACGAACCAUAAUUACUAGCCAAUAUUUAUCUCAUGCCUUUCCUCGUUCAUGGUUCGAUAUUCUGGUGUCCUAGGCAUAGAGGAACCACACCAAUCCAUCCUGAACUUACAGCAGCUUGCCAAACAAAGGCUAAUAGAAAAAAGAAUAGAGGUAUAACAUGCUUUAUUCUUAAGUGGGGGAAUCCCCUGAAAGCCGGUGUUCGAGUGAGUUUUUUCCAGGAAGCUAGUUCUUUAGGGCUUAACCCCUUUUGUUAUUCUACCUGCACUCUUCCGUAAACUAAAACGUGCAUUAUCAAUAGGAUCAAUUCUAACAAGUCACACACUCAUAUUCCAGAGAUACCGAAACAAAAAAAUUCCGCGGUCGAACUACCAUAAUAUCUAGAAAUGUAGAUCUUAAACUAGAAAGGCUUUUUUGGAUGGAAAAACUCUGACUUCCUAGUUUUAGUUAGUAGAAACCUAAUUGGUUAAAAUUCCAUCCAGUAAAACGGAAGAAUUAUAAAUUUCUAAAAUACAUAGCUUUCUUUAGUCUUUCCGGUAUAGCGUCGCGUCGGUCGAUAUCGCAGAGUCUAAUUUCCUAACUCGGAUUUGAACUCAGUGGGUAAUUUCUAACAAAGUUUUUCUCUUGUUGAUUCCUAAUUCUAGGUGUAGUGCUUUUCUCCCCUAUGCUGCCUACGGAUACUAAAGAUCACCGCUUUUCAUACGCUAAUUCGUGAUUCAAAGUAGAGCGAGUGAGGGAGCUAUACCCGGGACUCAAUCAACAUAUGCCAGAAAUAGGAAAUUGGAAUGAAAUCCAGUCUUAGUCAAAUACUUCAUAUCUCUUUGUGUCCAAGCAGAAGGAAAAGGAUACAAUUUGAGCCCAAUCCCUUUGGUCAUUUCGCUUUUCGUGCCGGCCUGUAUUCAGAGUUUCUUGGAUUUGCGGUGCCUGAAUGCCUUUCUCCUUCUUUUUGGUGACGCUUCGCUUGCAUGCAAGGCGGCUAAUAAAAGCGCCAGGUAGACGCGCGGAGAUGCAUUUUGAGUACUGGUGGUACUGGACAAGCUCUAGGGGAAUAAUCUCUUUCUUAUUUCUUUCUUAUUCCUUUCAUUUGUUGCUUUGUCUUCGGUUUGUUUUUAAACUCGACCUUCUAUCGGGACUGUGGUGACGAACCUUACUCCCCUCGGUCAAGUGGUUGACCCGUCUGUCCAAUAAGUUUACUAAGUGAAUGGGAAUCCUAUAGUUUGACCAGCCUGGAUCUCUAUUCUCCAUAAGGAUAGGGUUUAUUUGAUUGGCAUUCACGCCUUUUAGAAAGAGCCACUCAAUGCAAUUCACUUUUAGGCGAAGAGAGUAGCAGGGACUAUGGUAUCGAAUUUUUUCAUUCGAGUAUCUAUUAGAAAUGAAUUCUCCAGCAUUUGAUUCCUUACUAACAAAGAACUUUUUGGUACACUUGAAAGGUACCCCAUAGCAUGACUAAUUGAUAAAAUGUGGAGGAAAGUAGGGGAAAUGGCCGAUACUACUGGAAGAAUUCCUCUUUGGCUGAUAGGAGCGUAAAUAAUUGUAACCAUAUACAUAUAAAAUGACAGCAAUGGAAUCCCAAUCCCCUGCUUUUAUUUGUAAAGUCUCUAUUCCUCGGUGAUCAAAGCCCAAUGUCUCGGGGACUCAUUCUGACUUAAACAAGGGGUGGGUCUUUACCAACUUCCUAAAUCUAUAAAAAUAUAAAACUUCUCGGCUUUUACCCAUUUUAAUUUUUUUUGGAAUAAACUGUUGUCAACUAAUCUUUUCAAUGUUCAAUUCUACUCUAUGUUAGAACACGAGAAAGUGGAAAUCCUUUUGAAGGAAGCUAUUCAGGAACAGCUGGAACGGUUUUCUCUUCAGUAACAAAUAAAUUUUGCAUGCAGGCGAGUUGCAGCCUGCAAUCCGAACUGAGGACGGGUUUUUGGAGUUAGCUCACCCUCGCGAGAUCGCGACCCUUUGUCCCGCCCAUUGUAGCCUCUAUUGAGAAUCUAGUUUCUUGAUCGAAGUAAAGAAGAAUUUUAGUUCCUCUUUAGGCGAGCUACUUCGUUCCUAUUCUCCGAAUCUGAAUAGGAGAAGGUUGUAAUGAACCCAAAAUACAUCGCUAAGGUUCAACCGUUUCGCUACGGUUUUCUUCCAAUUUCAUCCAAGAUUUAAUAACUGAUCCAUUCUCAUCCUCGGUAAAGUCCAUAUUAUUGUGAUAGAAAUGAAGAGAAAUAAAUAAGCUUUAGUUAAUGUAAUAAAUAUACCCAUUGCUCUUUGAUGAAAAGAUGAAAAAACCAAAAAAAAGCUCUGCCCUUCCAUCUCUUCGAUAGAUAGAGAGGGAGGGCAGAGGCCUUGAACAAAAAGAUCACAGUAAACUUUUGGUAAAAGUUCUAUCUUGGUCGGAGUGGGGAUAUCAUUUCUCUUCUGCAUGUCUAUGGAGUUUUGCAAAACCCAAACACCUCCCAUGCAAAACCGUGCAUGAGACUUUCAUCUCGCACGACUCCUAAGUGAUAAAAGAAAGAAGAACUCGUCUUCUCUCUUUUUUGAUUACCUUCCUCGAUCAUGAUUUGGAACCUGUUCUUUACAUGAACCCUCUUAACUAAGAUUUUCUUAUUUAUACCUGUUCUACUUUUUUUCUGUUCUGGCUCGGUUAUUCCAUCUAGCCGAGCCAUUCAUUCCUUUUUAUGAAAGAAAGAUAAGGGACUUCUUUAAAAAGAAAAAGAAGUGCCUCUAUAUUUAUAUUAUAGAUUUAUCCACUUAGAUGAAUAAAUAUUAUUAAUGAAUAUGUAUCACAAUCCAUCUCGAGGUAUUUGG
Molecule: long non-coding RNA, 4961 nt
Filed under: Triticum aestivum (bread wheat)
Lineage: Eukaryota; Viridiplantae; Streptophyta; Magnoliopsida; Poales; Poaceae
Description: long non-coding RNA (TAES_LNC012436)
Rfam family: tRNA (bases 1662-1733)
Source: RNAcentral